UACGUAGGGGGCAAGCGUUGUCCGGAAUCAUUGGGCGUAAAGCGCGUGUAGGCGGCUUGGUAAGUCCGCUCUGAAAGCCCGGGGCUCAACCCCGGGAGGCGGGUGGAUACUGUCAAGCUCGAGUCCGGAAGAGGCGAGUGGAAUUCCUGGUGUAGCGGUGAAAUGCGCAGAUAUCAGGAGGAACACCAAUUGCGAAGGCAGCUCGCUGGGACGUUACUGACGCUGAGACGCGAAAGCGUGGGGAGCAAACAGG
This 253-nucleotide ribosomal RNA is filed under the name uncultured bacterium. RNAcentral's name for it is "partial 16S ribosomal RNA". It matches the Rfam family "Bacterial small subunit ribosomal RNA", at positions 524 to 776 of the family's 1533-position model. The record is from RNAcentral.